CAGUUCGUGUUUUUGAUCUUUUCGUUUAUUUUAAACUUUUCACAUUUUAGUUUUACAGAGUUGUCUAUAAUCUCCCUUUCAUUGUAAAUUUGAGUGAUUAGUCAAGCAUUUGAAUUCCCGCUGUUUUUGAACCAAUUAUUGUGGUCAUGUGAUAUAGUGUUCACUCUUGCACAAGUCUUGAUACUGAGAAGUCAAAUGUGAACUAGCUUUGCUGAACUUUAUAUUAAUUUUAUUAUAACUAUUUUGGUGUUUCUUGGAAAUUGAAGGUUGAGUUAAUAGAGCACAGUAAGAGUCAGUGAGAGAAACAGAGGUGUAUUACCUAUACAGUAUAUGAAACCUGAUCCACAAUUGGGUUUGAGAAAUAUAUAUAUAGUAUACUCGAUCACAGCCUUUUGUUGUAUUGGACCCUUAUACUGACUGCUGGCUGGGGCCAGUGUGGUUGGCCAUUACUCUUAUGUACGUACAUGGGCUGGAGCCCACCUGGCCACAGAUGGCGCCCAACGUAUUAUACAACACCGGACCAUUUUGAUUUCUUGUACGGGGGAGGAGAUAUGUUACAUAUGGAACCGACGGAACUUCAGACUAGUGGAACGAUCAUGGACUUUGUGUUUUGAGAUUAUGUAUUUUACAGAGACAGUGAGUGGUCAAGCAGCCUAUUUUGUACAUAUGUAAAAUUUGUGAGUAUUGUAUAUUUUGUGAAAAGUUUCAUUUCUGCACCUAUAUUUAUUUUUGACUAGAUCUACUUAAAUAACAAAUUUAUUUUUUUAUAUUUUUCCUUUUGGCUAUUUAUCUUUUUAUGUAAUUGUUUAGCUAAGUAAAUUUUGUUUAC
Molecule: long non-coding RNA, 829 nt
Organism: Ruditapes philippinarum (Manila clam)
Lineage: Eukaryota; Metazoa; Mollusca; Bivalvia; Venerida; Veneridae
Exons: 3
Source: RefSeq, a predicted model, not a curated record